UAGUGGCCUAUGAAAAAGAUGUGUCCCCACAGAAUACAUAAUAAUUUUCUUGCCAUGAGAGUUUAUAUGAUGUCCUUUUUAUAGACCUGUACUUGAAGAGGAAUUCAUACCUCUGGAUGCACUUAAAAGAAAUCUUGAAUGUUACUCAAUCUGGCAUUAAAACAUUUUGUGACUAAGAAGAUAAAAUAAUCUAUUGAAUCUGCCUAUUUAAACCAAAACUUAUAUUUUCUAGUAGUUACAGUAGACAAAUUUAGCCAUUUAUUCCAAUUUUGAUUAAUUGUUUGCUUAGGAAGAAUACUACACAGGCUCAGGAUAGGGGCUUAUUAGAAUAUAAGUCCAUGAUUGAUUGUUGAUAUUUGUCCUCAGUGGAAAAGGGGGAAAUAAUGGCAUGAAUCUUACAUUUUUGCUGUUCUUGGUGUCCUUUCAAUAUCUACUAGCCAAAUAUGAUUAUUGAGCAUAUGAAAUAUGACUAGUAUGACUGAGGAGCUGAAUUUUUUAUUGUAUUUCUUUUAACUACUUUAUAUAUAAAUCUAAAAACUAUAUUUGAUUUAGUUAUUAAAAAGCUUUUAAUUAUGUUUGGAAGAAAAUUACAAACAUGUAUUCUAUGAAGUCUAAAUAUUAAUCUAGUACUUCUGAUGAAAAUGUAGUGUUCAAGUUGAGAUAUGCUAUCAAAAAUAUAUACCGUAUUUCAAAUGCCUAGUAC
This 703-nucleotide long non-coding RNA is filed under the name Homo sapiens (human). Its description in RNAcentral is "HSALNT0220097". The record is from RNAcentral. Lineage: Eukaryota; Metazoa; Chordata; Mammalia; Primates; Hominidae.